UUCCCCUCUCCCUUUUCCUUAAAGCUGAUGCGCUGUGUGUCUAUAUCGCCUUCAGACGGGUGGAAUUAGAUCAGACCACAGACAGUCCCAAUGAUGUCACUUCCAGGUCACUGUCCUUUGGUCCCAACCCUUCUGGUCUGACUUCUUCUUAAGACGCUCCAUCACCAUUUUGUACCAGUUAUGAUUUUGACAACUGUCUGAAAAGACCUUAUUGCAUUUUCCCACUCUUUUUUCAACUUUUUUCCACCAAUUAUAUGUGGUUUGCCUUCAAGGCGCCCAUACUCUUUAUCUCGUCAUGUCUCCUGUUUUAGAAUAUAUAGAUAGAUUUGUCACAAAGAUUUUACCUGAGUUGAAAUCAAGUUAUUGUUCCACAUAUACUCUUUAUGGUUUUCAGUCAUUAUAUGUGCAAUGUUAUUUAACAGAAUUGCAAACUCUACGAUGUAGACAUAUAACACAGACCAUUAGUUAAAAAAAAGAAUGAAGACAAAAUAAGUGUUUUGAGUAUAUUUUGAAGUGGACACCUGUAUCUGUUCUUGUAUUACUCCUUGAAGAAGGAUGCAUCUUCUGCCUAAAUAUGAAUGUUAAAAUCUAAGGAACUUAAAGUACAAACUGUAGGAGUUUCAAAGUGGGUGACUCACAACAUGUAACUAAAUGGGGGCAGUCUUUAUGGCAGGAUAGAGAUGUGAAACAAUCAGCCUGCAGUUGGUUCACUUUGUUUGUUUCAUUUCUCUGCUCGUUCUGCACUUCACUGAGUUUCCUUUGUUAAUGGAUACUAUAUUUAAGGAGGUUUAACACUUUCAUUUUGUUUAGGAUUUUUUCAUUAGUUUUCUGUCUGUAGACGGGGCCUUGUUAUGAAAUGUCAACUCCAGUCUAUCCUAUCAUGCGCUUUUCUUUUCAUACUAAUCAUACCAUCAAAUCUUUUCUUUUCAGUCUUGAUAACAUUUUAUCUUCUUUUUGCUAAUUUUCUUCUAAAGUUCCCCAAUGUGGUAUUGAAAGAGGCCAACAUGGUCUGUAGUUCAUUUUUUAAUUUGGUCAUCUCCAGAUUUGAUUUGGUUUUAUCAUUUGUGCACCAAAUUUUAUUCCUAUAUUCAUAUUUCCGUGUGUUUUUUAUUUGCAUGAUGACACAAGACAACUAUGACUAACUCCUCUUGCAUUAAUCAAAAGACCUGUUGUUUCUUUCAUCAAGUCUCAUCUUUGCUGUCUGUCACAUAUCCAGUGCUUAUAUCGGUCUUCAGUCCUGAACACUUUACAACAUUUAUUAAUUUGAGCCAAUUUACAAUGUCUAAUGAUCAACAACACAGAAAAGAUAUCUUGCCCACAUUCAGUGCUUUGCUCAGUAAUGAUUUUCAGCAUUGCGAUUACAUUUUUUGUUCCUGUAUCUCUUUUGAAUCUCAGUUAAUCUCUGCUGAUGUAUUCUUCUCUGUUCUUUUGUUUAUUAUUUUCAAUAGCAAUUUCGAGGAAUGAUAUGUGAAGUUUAUGGUACAAUGGCCCUUACACAAGAUCACAUUUGUCCUUUUUUCCAUAAAUCUUAUGAUACUUUUCAAAAAGUCAUCAGACCUCACUCCAUUGUCAUAUAUGUUUUUGCCUUCUGAAUUUUCUUUUUAUGUUUUUCCUGUCCUCCUUGCCAUCGGACCUUACUUUAUUCUUUGUUACUUAAUAAUCUUAUUUUUAUAUUUUCCUUUUUUCUUUUUUCAUCUUGUAAAGCACUUUGACCUACAUAAUUUGUAUGAAAAUGUGCUAUAUAAAUAAAUGUUGUUGUUGUUUACAAAGAAUCACUAACUCAUUCUCUCCUUCUAUCCCUAUUAUUUUCAACCUUUCAUCUGGAACUCCACCCAUUCCUUUUUUCUUCCCUUCUUUCAAUUUUUUUCAGCUACUCUUGUUACAACAAUUCUACUCCCAUCUGAUUGAUAUUAAGCUCUUCUUUAUUUUCCAUAACGAUUUCUUGAGUUUUUUUAACCUUUCCUUUAAAAUCUUUGAAAUAUUCUCUCUGUUGAAUUUUAUUAUUUUCAAUCUCCAUUCAUAAUACUCCUUUGUGAUUUUGUAUUUGUAGUCUUUGUUUCCCUUGUCUUUUCAUAUCAGUUAGUUCUAUGUCUUUUUGGUACAAAGCAUCAGUUCUUUUGUCUCUAUUUCAUUCUACCUGUUCUUUUUAUCGCUUCAUCUGUCUCUCUCCACAGUUAAUUGUUCAGUCUUAUGUGCUGUCUUUGUCCUUGUUCUGUCCAUGGAUUGUUCCUUUCUACAGUGAUCCAUUUUCCCUAACAUUCACUCUGUGACUCAAGGUUUCUUCACUGUUUUUUCUCCUCCCAUCCAAUAUUUUCUUGUACAUUUUCUAGGACUGCUUGCUUCAGAUUCAACAUUCCCUAUUCUCAUUCUCUAUAUUCCUGUUUUUUCUUAAUAGCCUUUCUCUUAGUCUUUCAGUAAAUGUUCAUUAAUUUUUUUCCAUAGUUCACUGUAUCCAUUAUCCACUAAAUCUACUUCUAAUUUACAUUCAUUAAAAUUAGUCUGUGGGUUGUGUUAUGGAUAGUAGGAGACAUUCUUCACCUUGUUUCUAUACUGUUGUCACACCAUAAUUUAAUCAAUUUGAAUUCUUCUGACAUCACUUGGAGCCUUCCAUCUAUAAAGUGUCCUUUUUUCUUGAUGAAAGUAUGUGUUUAUCAGACAGAGCUGAAUGGUCUAACAAACUACCCUUUCUCAUUUUGUUUUACUAAGACUAUAUUUCAUUAUUAGGCUCUCUUCUUCUCUACCACUCAUUACAUUUACAGUCUUUUCCUUUUCCCUUUUUCAUUAUAUCCUCGGCGUGUUCAUUACUAGAUUCUGCUUAUUUUGCCUUGUGAUCUGUUGUUGCCAUACAGGCUACUUCUACCACCAUGUCUAUGGUAUGCAUGUAAGAUCCUAAGCCUGAAAAACCUAAGCACUUUACCAAAAUAUCAAAGGCCAAGUAGCUGAGCUUCC
Erpetoichthys calabaricus (reedfish) is the source of this 2949-nucleotide long non-coding RNA. RefSeq lists it as uncharacterized. NCBI's taxonomy places the organism in Eukaryota, Metazoa, Chordata, Cladistia, Polypteriformes, Polypteridae. The transcript is spliced from 2 exons. The record is from RefSeq and is a predicted model, not a curated record.